Molecule: long non-coding RNA, 601 nt
Organism: Dama dama (fallow deer)
Lineage: Eukaryota; Metazoa; Chordata; Mammalia; Artiodactyla; Cervidae
Exons: 2
Source: RefSeq, a predicted model, not a curated record
AGAAAUGUCUGAACAGCAAAGGUAUCCAUGGAAUAACAGCUGUGGGACGGAUUAUGAAGGCAAGUGCCACCAGGGAUGAGUACUUCACACUAUACGCAAGGAAAAGUAGUCAUGUAUGGAUGUGAGAGUUGGACUAUAAAGAAAGCUCAGCACAGAAGAAUUGAUGCUUUUGAACUGUCGUGUUGGAGAAGACUCUUGAGAAUCCCUUGGACUGCAAGGAGAUCCAACCAGUCCAUCCUAAAGGAGAUUAGUCCUGGGUGUUCACUGGAGGGACUGAUGUUGAAGCUGAAACUCCCAACACUUUGGCCACCUGAUGCGGAGAGCUGACUCAUUGGAAAAGACCCUGAUGCUGGGAAAGACUGAAGGCGGGAGGAGAAGGGGACGACAGAGGAUGAGAUGGUUGGAUGGCAUCACCAACACAAUGGAUGUGGGUUUGGGUGGAUUCCGGGAGUUGGUGAUGGACAGGGAGGCCUCGCGUGCUGUGGUUCAUGGCGUCGCAAAGAGUCAGACACGACUGAGCGACUGAACUGAACUGAAUUAUCAUUAAUAUUUAAUAAUAAUUAAUUAAUAUACAUUAACCUUAAAAAAAGGAUGAAAUCUG